GACGAACGCUGGCGGCGUGCUUAACACAUGCAAGUCGAACGGAAAGGCCCUGCUUUUGUGGGGUGCUCGAGUGGCGAACGGGUGAGUAACACGUGAGUAACCUGCCCUUGACUUUGGGAUAACUUCAGGAAACUGGGGCUAAUACCGGAUAGGAGCUCCUGCUGCAUGGUGGGGGUUGGAAAGUUUCGGCGGUUGGGGAUGGACUCGCGGCUUAUCAGCUUGUUGGUGGGGUAGUGGCUUACCAAGGCUUUGACGGGUAGCCGGCCUGAGAGGGUGACCGGCCACAAUGGGACUGAGAUAGGGCCCAGACUCCUACGGGGGGCAGCAGUGGGGAAUAUUGCACAAUGGGCGGAAGCCUGAUGCAGCAACGCCGCGUGCGGGAUGACGGCCUUCGGGUUGUAAACCGCUUUCGCCUGUGACGAAGCGUGAGUGACGGUAAUGGGUAAAGAAGCACCGGCUAACUACGUG
Molecule: ribosomal RNA, 468 nt
Filed under: uncultured bacterium
Lineage: Bacteria
Description: partial 16S ribosomal RNA
Rfam family: Bacterial small subunit ribosomal RNA
Source: RNAcentral